AUACGUAGGUGGCGAGCGUUGUCCGGAAUUACUGGGUGUAAAGGGAGCGUAGGCGGUUUGGUAAGUUGAGUGUGAAAUCUACCGGCUUAACUGGUAGGCUGCGCUCAAAACUACCAAACUUGAGUGAAGUAGAGGCAGGCGGAAUUCCCGGUGUAGCGGUGGAAUGCGUAGAUAUCGGGAAGAACACCAGUGGCGAAGGCGGCCUGCUGGGCUUUUACUGACGCUGAAGCACGAAAGCGUGGGGAGC
Molecule: ribosomal RNA, 247 nt
Filed under: uncultured bacterium
Lineage: Bacteria
Description: partial 16S ribosomal RNA
Rfam family: Bacterial small subunit ribosomal RNA
Source: RNAcentral